RNAcentral lists this ribosomal RNA (739 nucleotides) under Salmonella enterica subsp. enterica serovar Thompson. Its description in RNAcentral is "bacterial LSU rRNA". It matches the Rfam family "Bacterial large subunit ribosomal RNA", at positions 593 to 1251 of the family's 2925-position model. Lineage: Bacteria; Pseudomonadati; Pseudomonadota; Gammaproteobacteria; Enterobacterales; Enterobacteriaceae. The record is from RNAcentral.
GUGACUGCGUACCUUUUGUAUAAUGGGUCAGCGACUUAUAUUCUGUAGCAAGGUUAACCGUAUAGGGGAGCCGUAGGGAAACCGAGUCUUAACCGGGCGUUAAGUUGCAGGGUAUAGACCCGAAACCCGGUGAUCUAGCCAUGGGCAGGUUGAAGGUUGGGUAACACUAACUGGAGGACCGAACCGACUAAUGUUGAAAAAUUAGCGGAUGACCUGUGGCUGGGGGUGAAAGGCCAAUCAAACCGGGAGAUAGCUGGUUCUCCCCGAAAGCUAUUUAGGUAGCGCCUCGUGAAUUCAUCUCCGGGGGUAGAGCACUGUUUCGGCUAGGGGGCCAUCCCGGCUUACCAACCCGAUGCAAACUGCGAAUACCGGAGAAUGUUAUCACGGGAGACACACGGCGGGUGCUAACGUCCGUCGUGAAGAGGGAAACAACCCAGACCGCCAGCUAAGGUCCCAAAGUCAUGGUUAAGUGGGAAACGAUGUGGGAAGGCCCAGACAGCCAGGAUGUUGGCUUAGAAGCAGCCAUCAUUUAAAGAAAGCGUAAUAGCUCACUGGUCGAGUCGGCCUGCGCGGAAGAUGUAACGGGGCUAAACCAUGCACCGAAGCUGCGGCAGCGAACGUAUCACUUAAAGCGAUUCAGCGGGUUACGAUUGACGGAGCGAAGCGACGUCAAAGCGUAUACAAAGUCGAGUCGGUUUAAGGAUACGUUCGUUGGGUAGGGGAGCGUUCUGUAAGCCUG